Long non-coding RNA from Mercenaria mercenaria, 1918 nucleotides. RefSeq lists it as uncharacterized. The transcript has 3 exons. NCBI's taxonomy places the organism in Eukaryota, Metazoa, Mollusca, Bivalvia, Venerida, Veneridae. The record is from RefSeq and is a predicted model, not a curated record.
AACGCAAACGAGAAAUGAAUGUAUAUGAUAAAUCUUUCCUGUAUUAUGCAAAAAAUUAUACAGAAGCUAUGUUAUGUAUUUUGAAGGAGUGAAGUAUGUAGAGCAGCUGCCGUCACCUCGAAUGAUUAAAUGCCAUCUACAUCACUUUCUUCUUCCGGAACAAUUAAGAAAAGGCAAGGGACGGAUUAUUUAUAUUGCGAGGAACCCAAAGGACGUAGUGGUCUCCUGGUAUCAUGUACUGGAGUGGACAGACGAAUUAGGUGAUACUUUAGACACAUGGGAUACAUUUUUAGAUUCAUUUGUCGAUGGAACCGGAUAUAUCUAAAGCAGUGAAAGAUAUUGCAAAUUUUCUCAGCCGUGAGGUUACGGAUGAUGAUGUGGACAGAAUAAGCAAGUUUGUCAUGUUGACAACAUGAGGAAGAAUGAUGCGAUAACAUGUCUUACUGGAGAAAUAUCAAAAAGGUCAAUGACAACGCUGGUGGACGUUUUAUAAACAAAGGUGUGUGCGUUUCCCGCUUCUACAUAGAAUAGCACUGAUGGCUGGAAUGUUUAACUGAAAACAUUUACACAAUAUUUUUUUCCGAAUUGAAAGCUUAACCUGUACUCAGAGGUAUCAUACAUGAGGUUCAAUGCGAGCUUGGGUAAAUGUGUUAUAUCAAUCAUAAACCUUGUUGCAUUAAACGGUUGUAAUUAAACAUGUCAAAUAGCUAUGAAUUAUUACAUAGCGUUUACGAACUUAAGUUUUUUUUAAAUAAAGAUUUGUUUUUCUAUAUAUUCUGCUUUAAUGCAUUCUUAUCUUUCUCUAUAAGUAAAUCAGGUGUUUGGAAAGAAUUCUUGUCCAACGAUGAAGCGAACAGAAUUGAUGGUCUCCUGGAGUCAAGCAGUCGGGACUUACAUUUGAAGAUUGAAGAUUGAAUUAAAAACAUAAGUUCCUGUAUUAAACAGAUACUGAAUAAAAAAAGCAUUUUAUUUAGAUGGAAGUAGCCGUAAUGGUAAAAUAUCAUGUUAGCUAUGCAACUUGGGGUUUUCGUUAUGCAACUAACUUGAAACAAAACACAAAAAUAUUUUUUGCCUCUCAACUUGACAUUCAAGAACCGUUGACAUUAUGAACCCACGUUCAGUUAAUGAGGUUAAUAUUUUUGUAAAAGGUUAAUUAUGCUAAAAAUAUGUAGCUCUAGGCCUGUCUGUCUGAAAAGUUAACUUGAAAAUUAUAAUAAUAUCUCUUAUAAACUGCUUUUCUAGGAAUCAUUGCAUGAGCGAAACCUUGCACUUUAUGCUUUGUCUACAUUAAUCUUGAAUGUCUGCUUAAAGGGAUUGGCCUCCAGAUCGUUCGACAACAAAAACAACAUUUGUUUAGAUAUCUGGAAAUAAAUGCUAUAUUUCAUAAGAAGGUUUUAAAACUUAAUCACUGACAAACUAUAUUUUACGGAAACGUAUAAGAAUUUGUUGUAUUUACUACCUUUUACGAUGAGAAUUGAAAAGCGUUUGUAACGCUUUUACUCCAGGAAAACUGUCUCGAUUAUUAAUAUCUAUAUUUUGAAGUCAUAAUUCACUAAUUCCGCUAUAGCGCUAUUGGUUACGACGACGGAAAAUGUGUUUAUUGCCGCGGUGGUCCGGGGCUCGAUUCCCGACGCAGUCAUCAUUUUUCUUGAUUUGGAAUUUUUAUAAUAUUUUAGAAACAAAAGCUCAUAUUCUAAUGUUCAUAGUAUGACCAAUUUUCAAUUUGAGAGAAACAUUAUUUUUAGCCAAAUCUGGAGGUCAGUGCCUUUAAAAUAAGCUACAGUUAAGAACUGUUCAAGACAUUACCAGGUUCAGAUUCUUUUUUGAUUCAUAUACAAAUUUAACAGAACAAAAAAUUCUGUUAUUUUUAUCAGCGUUAUUGUUUUGAAAAAUGAAUGUUAUGAAAUAUUUUAACAGU